Long non-coding RNA from Gadus morhua (Atlantic cod), 2526 nucleotides. NCBI's taxonomy places the organism in Eukaryota, Metazoa, Chordata, Actinopteri, Gadiformes, Gadidae. The record is from Ensembl.
AUGAAGCCUGAUAACAGUAGAGGUGUCAAUCAGCCUCACCUCAGGCUCCACUGUUGUGUUUGUCAUAGCCUACCGCCUUGUACAUAUGUAUUAAUGAAGCCCGAUAAGGGUAGAGGAGUCAAUCAGCCUCACCUCAGGCUCCACUGUUGUGUUUGUCAUAGCCUACCGCCUUGUACAUAUGUAUUAAUGAAGCCCGAUAAGGGUAGAGGAGUCAAUCAGCCUCACCUCAGCUCUCCCAACUCUCUCUCUCUACUGCCCUCCUACCCCAAGCUCUGCUCCCCUCUGUUCCAACUCUCUCUCUCUCUACUGCCCUCCUACCCCAAGCUCUGCUCCCCUCUGUUCCAACUCUCUCUCUCUACUGCCCUCCUACCCCAAGCUCUGCUCCCCUCUGUUCCAACUCUCUCUCUCUCUACUGCCCUCUUACCCCAAGCUCUGCUCCCCUCUGUUCCAACUCUCUCUCUCUACUGCCCUCCUACCCCAAGCUCUGCUCCCCUCUGUUCCAACUCUCUCUCUCUCUACUGCCCUCCUACCCCAAGCUCUGCUCCCCUCUGUUCCAACUCUCUCUCUCUCUCUCCUGCCCUCCUACCCCAAGCUCUGCUCCCCUCUGUUCCAACUCUCUCUCUCUCUCUACUGCCCUCCUACCCCAAGCUCUGCUCCCCUCUGUUCCAACUCUCUCUCUCUACUGCCCUCCUACCCCAAGCUCUGCUCCCCUCUGUUCCAACUCUCUCUCUCUACUGCCCUCCUACCCCAAGCUCUGCUCCCCUCUGUUCCAACUCUCUCUCUCUCUACUGCCCUCUUACCCCAAGCUCUGCUCCCCUCUGUUCCAACUCUCUCUCUCUCUACUGCCCUCCUACCCCAAGCUCUGCUCCCCUCUGUUCCAACUCUCUCUCUCUCUCUACUGCCCUCUUACCCCAAGCUCUGCUCCCCUCUGUUCCAACUCUCUCUCUCUCUACUGCCCUCCUACCCCAAGCUCUGCUCCCCUCUGUUCCAACUCUCUCUCUCUCUCCUGCCCUCCUACCCCAAGCUCUGCUCCCCUCUGUUCCAACUCUCUCUCUCUCUCCUGCCCUCCUACCCCAAGCUCUGCUCCCCUCUGUUCCAACUCUCUCUCUCUCUACUGCCCUCCUACCCCAAGCUCUGCUCCCCUCUGUUCCAACUCUCUCUCUCUACUGCCCUCCUACCCCAAGCUCUGCUCCCCUCUGUUCCAACUCUCUCUCUCUACUGCCCUCCUACCCCAAGCUCUGCUCCCCUCUGUUCCAACUCUCUCUCUCUACUGCCCUCUUACCCCAAGCUCUGCUCCCCUCUGUUCCAACUCUCUCUCUCUACUGCCCUCCUACCCCAAGCUCUGCUCCCCUCUGUUCCAACUCUCUCUCUCUACUGCCCUCCUACCCCAAGCUCUGCUCCCCUCUGUUCCAACUCUCUCUCUCUACUGCCCUCCUACCCCAAGCUCUGCUCCCCUCUGUUCCAACUCUCUCUCUCUCUACUGCCCUCUUACCCCAAGCUCUGCUCCCCUCUGUUCCAACUCUCUCUCUCUCUACUGCCCUCCUACCCCAAGCUCUGCUCCCCUCUGUUCCAACUCUCUCUCUCUCUCCUGCCCUCCUACCCCAAGCUCUGCUCCCCUCUGUUCCAACUCUCUCUCUCUCUACUGCCCUCUUACCCCAAGCUCUGCUCCCCUCUGUUCCAACUCUCUCUCUCUCUCCUGCCCUCUUACCCCAAGCUCUGCUCCCCUCUGUUCCAACUCUCUCUCUCUACUGCCCUCCUACCCCAAGCUCUGCUCCCCUCUGUUCCAACUCUCUCUCUCUACUGCCCUCCUACCCCAAGCUCUGCUCCCCUCUGUUCCAACUCUCUCUCUCUACUGCCCUCCUACCCCAAGCUCUGCUCCCCUCUGUUCCAACUCUCUCUCUCUACUGCCCUCCUACCCCAAGCUCUGCUCCCCUCUGUUCCAACUCUCUCUCUCUACUGCCCUCCUACCCCAAGCUCUGCUCCCCUCUGUUCCAACUCUCUCUCUCUCUCCUGCCCUCUUACCCCAAGCUCUGCUCCCCUCUGUUCCAACUCUCUCUCUCUCUACUGCCCUCCUACCCCAAGCUCUGCUCCCCUCUGUUCCAACUCUCUCUCUCUCUCCUGCCCUCCUACCCCAAGCUCUGCUCCCCUCUGUUCCAACUCUCUCUCUCUCUCCUGCCCUCUUACCCCAAGCUCUGCUCCCCUCUGUUCCAACUCUCUCUCUCUCUACUGCCCUCUUACCCCAAGCUCUGCUCCCCUCUGUUCCAACUCUCUCUCUCUCUACUGCCCUCCUACCCCAAGCUCUGCUCCCCUCUGUUCCAACUCUCUCUCUCUCUCCUGCCCUCUUACCCCAAGCUCUGCUCCCCUCUGUUCCAACUCUCUCUCUCUACUGCCCUCCUACCCCAAGCUCUGCUCCCCUCUGUUCCAACUCUCUCUCUCCUGCCCUCUUACCCCAAGCUCUGCUCCCCUCUGUUUCAACUCUCUCUCUCUCUCACCUGCCCUCUACGUAGAUAUUGGGGUUGUUUGUAA